Molecule: unclassified non-coding RNA, 734 nt
Filed under: Hevea brasiliensis (rubber tree)
Lineage: Eukaryota; Viridiplantae; Streptophyta; Magnoliopsida; Malpighiales; Euphorbiaceae
Source: RNAcentral
CAGAAGAUGACAACUUCAUGGAACGCCAAGGGAAAAACUUACUACAGAUAUUCCAUUACAGUUACCAAUAAGUCCGCUAAGACAUUGACAGAUCUUAAGCUUUCAAUAUCUAAGCUUUAUGGUCCUAUGUGGGGUCUCACGAAGUCUGGAGAUUCUUAUGCUUUUCCGUCAUGGCUUAAUUCUUUACCUGCUGGAAAAAGUCUCGAGUUCGUUUAUAUUCAUUCAGCCUCUGCUGCAGAUGUCUCAGUUUCAAGCUACACUUUAGCCUGAAAAAGGAAGAAAAUCAAUUACAGAAACGAGAAAAAGGAUGGUACAACUUCUGGGGUUGUAAUGUAAGAAUUGUGCAGCUAUACAAAAAAUGCAGUCCAGAAUGGUCUUUUUUUUUGUUUUUUUACACCUCUUCUUCAUUUGGGAUUUUCAUCUUGUUGAUUUGGUAUUUAAUUAAGGUUCAGUGAUUUUUAGGUUAAAUAAGGUUGGAGGACGAAAGGAGUGACGAGACAAUUAAAAAGAAGUGCUCAUCCUCUUUCUCCUCCACUUCAUUAGCUUACAUAGAUAUGUUUGAGAGAGACGGUUAAAGAGUGCUAGUUGAGAUGCAAAAGCUCAGGCUUCUCAAUUAAAUUUCAAGAGUCUUUUCUCUUUGUACUUGGAAACAGCUUUGGAUGUUCUUUUUGGUGUGAUGUUGUAAGCUCUGCAACAAAUUUUUUAAACUUCCUAUAUGAAUAUAGUCUCCGGCA